Pelobates cultripes (western spadefoot toad) is the source of this 565-nucleotide non-coding RNA. NCBI's taxonomy places the organism in Eukaryota, Metazoa, Chordata, Amphibia, Anura, Pelobatidae. The record is from the annotation of a GenBank genome assembly.
GGAAAAAAAACAUCAUAAGUACCAAAGAGAUCACAAAGACUUCAAAGAGGGUAUGGUCUUUAGACAAAGAAACAAAAACAAGAGAAAAUACAAUAGUCGGCAGAACUCUACCACAUCCGGAGAAACGGAUUGGUCUGGGUCCGAUUUUAGUCCCCCAAGGAGAACCAAUAGUAUCCCAACUAAUGUCCAACAAAGAAGAAAAAGUAUUCUGAAAUCAGUGGAUAAAAAUGUGUCUUUUCCAGACACACAAUUUGAUAACUUUUCUAACUCCACUACAAAUUCUUUGACCUCCGAUAAUCCUUCAUCUUUAGGAGCUUCUUCCUCUUCUUCUUUUUUAGAUCAGGAGUGGUCUCAACCCCAGAGAGGCAAACUCCGAGACAGAAAAAGAUGGGGGUACAAAAUAAACAAGGAAGGUCACAAGAACUAACAAACUAUGACACUACAGAAGACAAUCUUAUCAUCAAUUUAUCCACUUUUAAUUUGGAAAGUAAACAUAUAUCCCUGCUUAGUAAGGGUUUAAAUUUUGUCCCUUCUCCCACUAUAAACAAAUUUGAGUGGGUAAAGG